This 444-nucleotide ribosomal RNA is filed under the name Streptococcus sp. oral taxon C56. RNAcentral's name for it is "bacterial SSU rRNA". It matches the Rfam family "Bacterial small subunit ribosomal RNA", at positions 28 to 464 of the family's 1533-position model. Lineage: Bacteria; Bacillati; Bacillota; Bacilli; Lactobacillales; Streptococcaceae. The record is from RNAcentral.
GACGAACGCUGGCGGCGUGCCUAAUACAUGCAAGUAGAACGCUGAAGGAGGAGCUUGCUCUUCUGGAUGAGUUGCGAACGGGUGAGUAACGCGUAGGUAACCUGCCUGGUAGUGGGGGAUAACUAUUGGAAACGAUAGCUAAUACCGCAUAAUAACAGUUGUUGCAUGACAACUGUUUGAAAGGUGCAAUUGCAUCACUACCAGAUGGACCUGCGUUGUAUUAGCUAGUUGGUGGGGUAACGGCUCACCAAGGCGACGAUACAUAGCCGACCUGAGAGGGUGAUCGGCCACACUGGGACUGAGACACGGCCCAGACUCCUACGGGAGGCAGCAGUAGGGAAUCUUCGGCAAUGGACGAAAGUCUGACCGAGCAACGCCGCGUGAGUGAAGAAGGUUUUCGGAUCGUAAAGCUCUGUUGUAAGAGAAGAACGAGUGUGAGAUGUG